AGAGUUUGAUCCUGGCUCAGGAUGAACGCUGGCGGCGCGCCUAACACAUGCAAGUCGAACGGCACCCCUCUCCGGAGGGAAGCGAGUGGCGAACGGCUGAGUAACACGUGGAGAACCUGCCCCCUCCCCCGGGAUAGCCGCCCGAAAGGACGGGUAAUACCGGAUACCCCGGGGUGCCGCAUGGCACCCCGGCUAAAGCCCCGACGGGAGGGGAUGGCUCCGCGGCCCAUCAGGUAGACGGCGGGGUGACGGCCCACCGUGCCGACAACGGGUAGCCGGGUUGAGAGACCGACCGGCCAGAUUGGGACUGAGACACGGCCCAGACUCCUACGGGAGGCAGCAGUGGGGAAUCUUGCGCAAUGGGGGGAACCCUGACGCAGCGACGCCGCGUGCGGGACGGAGGCCUUCGGGUCGUAAACCGCUUUCAGCAGGGAAGAGUCAAGACUGUACCUGCAGAAGAAGCCCCGGCUAACUACGUGCCAGCAGCCGCGGUAAUACGUAGGGGGCGAGCGUUAUCCGGAUUCAUUGGGCGUAAAGCGCGCGUAGGCGGCCCGGCAGGCCGGGGGUCGAAGCGGGGGGCUCAACCCCCCGAAGCCCCCGGAACCUCCGCGGCUUGGGUCCGGUAGGGGAGGGUGGAACACCCGGUGUAGCGGUGGAAUGCGCAGAUAUCGGGUGGAACACCGGUGGCGAAGGCGGCCCUCUGGGCCGAGACCGACGCUGAGGCGCGAAAGCUGGGGGAGCGAACAGGAUUAGAUACCCUGGUAGUCCCAGCCGUAAACGAUGGACGCUAGGUGUGGGGGGACGAUCCCCCCGUGCCGCAGCCAACGCAUUAAGCGUCCCGCCUGGGGAGUACGGCCGCAAGGCUAAAACUCAAAGGAAUUGACGGGGGCCCGCACAAGCAGCGGAGCAUGUGGCUUAAUUCGAAGCAACGCGAAGAACCUUACCAGGUCUUGACAUCGAGUGACGUACCUAGAGAUAGGUAUUUUCUUCGGAACACAAAGACAGGUGGUGCAUGGUUGUCGUCAGCUCGUGUCGUGAGAUGUUGGGUUAAGUCCAGCAACGAGCGCAACCCUUACCAUUAGUUGCUACGCAAGAGCACUCUAAUGGGACUGCCGUUGACAAAACGGAGGAAGGUGGGGAUGACGUCAAAUCAUCAUGCCCCUUAUGACCUGGGCUACACACGUACUACAAUGGCAAUAUAACAGAGGGAAGCAAUACAGCGAUGUGGAGCAAAUCCCCAAAAAUUGUCCCAGUUCAGAUUGCAGGCUGCAACUCGCCUGCAUGAAGUCGGAAUUGCUAGUAAUCGCAGAUCAGCAUGCUGCGGUGAAUACGAUCCCGGGCCUUGCACUCACCGCCCGUCA
Molecule: ribosomal RNA, 1361 nt
Filed under: uncultured bacterium
Lineage: Bacteria
Description: bacterial SSU rRNA
Rfam family: Bacterial small subunit ribosomal RNA
Source: RNAcentral